Molecule: long non-coding RNA, 322 nt
Filed under: Dromaius novaehollandiae (emu)
Lineage: Eukaryota; Metazoa; Chordata; Aves; Casuariiformes; Dromaiidae
Description: lncRNA (ENSDNVG00000002611.1)
Source: RNAcentral
UAAGAGAUUCAACCAGCAGCAGAGGCACCAAGGACAGAAGGAAUUGUAACUGUAGAUUCUCACCCUGGGACUGUUCUGUGUUGUAAUUUGGCAGAGGUUCAUUCUGAGUAUGAGGUUGGGACUUGUUUGCAGCUGAUUUGCCUCAGAUAUGAGAUGCAGAGAUUGUUCUCUUUCACUGCACAGUACAAGUUGGAUGAGACUCCAGCUGAGAACAAUAAACAAACUUUUCAGCACCUCGCUUGUCCUUUGAGAGAUGAAUAUUCCACCUCUUACAGUUACCACGUCCCAGCCACUGCUCACACUCCUGCUGGAGCACCAGCCU